UUUAGCAGGGUAGAUGAUGAAAAGAC
RNAcentral lists this non-coding RNA (26 nucleotides) under Homo sapiens (human). Lineage: Eukaryota; Metazoa; Chordata; Mammalia; Primates; Hominidae. The record is from RNAcentral.